RNAcentral lists this ribosomal RNA (83 nucleotides) under Anaerotruncus colihominis DSM 17241. Lineage: Bacteria; Bacillati; Bacillota; Clostridia; Eubacteriales; Oscillospiraceae. The record is from RNAcentral.
UGGUAUUUAUUACGCUGAGGUCCCACCUGUUCCCAUCCCGAACACAGAAGUUAAGCUCAGUUGUGCCGACAAUACUUGGCGGG